GAUGAACGCUGGCGGCGUGCCUAAUACAUGCAAGUCGAGCUAACAGACGAGGAGCUUGCUCCUCUGACGUUAGCGGCGGACGGGUGAGUAACACGUGGAUAACCUACCUAUAAGACUGGGAUAACUUCGGGAAACCGGAGCUAAUACCGGAUAAUAUAUUGAACCGCAUGGUUCAAUAGUGAAAGACGGUUUUGCUGUCACUUAUAGAUGGAUCCGCGCCGCAUUAGCUAGUUGGUAAGGUAACGGCUUACCAAGGCAACGAUGCGUAGCCGACCUGAGAGGGUGAUCGUCCACACUGGAACUGAGACACGGUCCAGACUCCUACGGGAGGCAGCAGUAGGGAAUCUUCCGCAAUGGGCGAAAGCCUGACGGAGCAACGCCGCGUGAAUGAUGAAGGUCUUCGGAUCGUAAAACUCUGUUAUUAGGGAAGAACAAAUGUGUAAGUAACUAUGCACGUCUUGACGGUACCUAAUCAGAAAGCCACGGCUAACUACGUG
RNAcentral lists this ribosomal RNA (497 nucleotides) under uncultured bacterium. RNAcentral's name for it is "partial 16S ribosomal RNA". It matches the Rfam family "Bacterial small subunit ribosomal RNA", at positions 28 to 507 of the family's 1533-position model. The record is from RNAcentral.